GAUGAAGAACGCAGCGAAAUGCGAAAAGUAGUGUGAAUUGCAGAAUUCAGUGAAUCAUCGAAUCUUUGAACGCACAUUGCGCCCCUUGGUAUUCCGAGGGGCAUGCCUGUUCGAGCGUCAUUUCAACCCUCAAGCACAGCUUGGUCUUGGGCUUCGCCGCUAACCCGGCGGGUCUUAAAAUCAGUGGCGGUGCCGUCGGGCCCUGAGCGCAGUAAUCUCUCUCGCUAUAGGGUCCCGGCGGAUGCUGGCCAGUAACCCCCAAUUUUCUAUGGUUGACCUCGGAUCAGGUAGGGAUACCCGCUGAACUUAAGCAUAUCAAUAAGCGGAGGA
This 330-nucleotide unclassified non-coding RNA is filed under the name soil metagenome. Its description in RNAcentral is "partial contains 5.8S ribosomal RNA, internal transcribed spacer 2, and large subunit ribosomal RNA". The stretch from base 1 to 120 matches the Rfam family "5.8S ribosomal RNA", at positions 35 to 154 of the family's 154-position model. The record is from RNAcentral.